Molecule: ribosomal RNA, 928 nt
Filed under: Xanthoria parietina
Lineage: Eukaryota; Fungi; Ascomycota; Lecanoromycetes; Teloschistales; Teloschistaceae
Description: LSU rRNA
Rfam family: Eukaryotic large subunit ribosomal RNA
Source: RNAcentral
GAUUGACCUCGGAUCAGGUAGGGAUACCCGCUGAACUUAAGCAUAUCAAUAAGCGGAGGAAAAGAAACCAACAGGGAUUGCCUCAGUAACGGCGAGUGAAGCGGCAACAGCUCAAAUUUGAAAUCUGGCCUUAAGCGGGGUCCGAAUUGUAAUUUGCAGAGGGCGUUUCGGGCGACGCGCCGGUCUAAGUCCCUUGGAACGGGGCGUCAUAGAGGGUGAGAAUCCCGUAUGUGACCGGCGACCGAGCCUGUGUGAAACCCCUUCGACGAGUCGAGUUGUUUGGGAAUGCAGCUCAAAGCGGGUGGUAAAUUUCAUCUAAAGCUAAAUACCGGCCAGAGACCGAUAGCGCACAAGUAGAGUGAUCGAAAGAUGAAAAGCACUUUGGAAAGAGAGUCAAAAAGUACGUGAAAUUGUUGAAAGGGAAGCGCUUGCAACCAGACCUGCCCGCGGGUGAUCAGCCGUCCUUCGGGGCGGUGCACUCACCCGCGAUCAGGCCAGCAUCGGUUCGGGCGGCCGGAUAAAGGCCUUGGGAACGUGGCUCCCCUCGGGGAGCGUUAUAGCCCAGGGUGCAAUGCGGCCCGCCCGGACCGAGGACCGCGCUUCGGCUAGGAUGCUGGCGUAAUGGUUGUAAGCGGCCCGUCUUGAAACACGGACCAAGGAGUCKACCWACCGUGCGAGUGUUUGGGCGUCAAACCCACACGCGCAAUGAAAGUGAACGGAGGUGGGAACCCCUCGCGGGGCGCACCAUCGACCGAUCCAGAUGUCUUCGGAUGGAUUUGAGUACGAGCAUGGCUGGUCGGACCCGAAAGAUGGUGAACUAUGCCUGGAUAGGGUGAAGCCAGAGGAAACUCUGGUGGAGGCUCGCAGCGGUUCUGACGUGCAAAUCGAUCGUCAAAUUUGGGCAUAGGGGCGAAAGACUAAUCGAACC